Molecule: ribosomal RNA, 497 nt
Filed under: uncultured bacterium
Lineage: Bacteria
Description: partial 16S ribosomal RNA
Rfam family: Bacterial small subunit ribosomal RNA
Source: RNAcentral
GACGAACGCUGGCGGCGUGCCUAAUACAUGCAAGUUGAGCGCUGAAGGUUGGUACUUGUACCGACUGGAUGAGCAGCGAACGGGUGAGUAACGCGUGGGGAAUCUGCCUUUGAGCGGGGGACAACAUUUGGAAACGAAUGCUAAUACCGCAUAAAAACUUUAAACACAAGUUUUAAGUUUGAAAGAUGCAAUUGCAUCACUCAAAGAUGAUCCCGCGUUGUAUUAGCUAGUUGGUGAGGUAAAGGCUCACCAAGGCGAUGAUACAUAGCCGACCUGAGAGGGUGAUCGGCCAACUUGGGACUGAGACACGGCCCAAACUCCUACGGGAGGCAGCAGUAGGGAAUCUUCGGCAAUGGACGAAAGUCUGACCGAGCAACGCCGCGUGAGUGAAGAAGGUUUUCGGAUCGUAAAACUCUGUUGGUAGAGAAGAACGUUGGUGAGAGUGGAAAGCUCAUCAAGUGACGGUAACUACCCAGAAAGGGACGGCUAACUACGUG